GCUCCCGGAAGCGGCACGGGAGGCGACCGUGCUCGCCGUUGGCAGGCUAGGGUUGGCGGCGGCGUAUUCUGUUUGUUUUAAACGAAGGAGCGGAGGGAGGGGCCGCGCCGCGGAGCGUGCCUAAGGUGAAAGGGCUGCCGUGCAGCCAGGCAGAGGCGAGGAAGGCUUCUCCAUCGUCGCCACCGCCCGCCUGUUUCGCCGGCAACAGGUUCCCCCGGGACGGGAGGGGCCGCAGCGCCGCGCAGCUCGCAGCGCUGAACGUCGCGGAAAUCCCUUGGCCGGCCGAGCCUCCGCAGCCGCGACCCGGCUUCUCUCCGUCCGAGUCCCCCGAGCCUCUCCGAACCCCCGUUGGACUUCCCCUCCCUGGCCGGCGCCGCCCGACCCGCUCCCCCAUCCUAGAGGGAAUUCCCUGCGCCGCGGCUGUGAGGCACCUCCACCCCGGCCUGAAAUGCACCGCAGUCCUGAAGGAAAUCCACCCUCAUCCCACGCAGAUUCACCCGCAACGCUGCCUGAAUACGCCUCGCUGCCCACAGAAAUUCCUGCCCAAACCAGACGCGUGGACCACCCAAGACGAAAUUCACACUCGACCCUAGCCCCGCCAGCCCUUGCCGAAAUCACCCUAAACCCGUUGAAAUUAAUUCCCAGCUGUCCGAAUUUUCCUUCCAACAUUAACUGACUACCUGUCUCCGCCAAGCUGACUGAACUCUACCGAACUCUUACCCUGAAAGCCCCUGAGAGUCCAAAAUAUAUUUUUCCAGCCCGAAAUCUAAAUCCCAGUUCUCUGUAUGAAAACCUCCAGAAACCCAGACUCUUACUUCCUUCGGCCACGGACUCGUUCGAACAUCGUGGACAUCACCUUCCCACAUUUUUACCGCAGUCUUUGGCUCCGAUUCUUUGUCCCUGCCUCUUGGGCAGCAUCCUAUCCCUGUUUCUUUCCACCUUUGAGGAUUCCUCUACCUCUUUAAAGGCCUGCUUUCUUUGCUUUCUCUUCUCACCUUUGGCAUUGGCACACUGGGGUCAUAUCUUUAGUUCCCUUGACUCCACCAUCUAAGCCAAGGGUGUCCAAUCUUUUGGCUUCCCUGGGCUACAUUGGAAGGAGAAAAAUUGUCUUGGACCACAUAUAAAAUAUUCUAACGCUAAUGGUAGCUGAUGAAACUUUUAAAAAAUCUCAUCAUGUUUUAAGAAGUUUACGAAUUUGUGCUGAGCCGCAUUCAAAGCCGUCCUGGGCCUAAGUCCUUGCUAUUUUUCCUCUUCAAUUUCCUUCAAUCCAUAGUUCUCUAGGUUAUUUUCCCACCCUUUCCCAAGAUUCGGAUAUCCCUUCAUUCUUGCUGAGUUCAUCUCCUAUGCCUAUUCCUACAUACUUGCUGAGUUCAUCUUCUAAUGUCCUCAUCCUGGUUUCUUCCUGAACCUGAAAUCCAGCUAACCUUACUUUUUCAUCCCAUCAAACCCCUGCUGUUGCCAGCCCAGCACUCACGAAGAUCUUUACAUACACCAAAUAUUAAAUUAGGGCCGGUACCUAGACAUUGUCUCUGCACUCUGCUGGCAUAUUUUCCCCUGGACCACGAACCCUUCGUACCUAGUAACUUGCCACCUGUGUUUAUAAAUACCAGCAAUUUGAUUUACAGGGUGAAUUUGUCACUAUUGUUUACUUUUAAAUGAAGUUACUGUAUUUGUUGUUUCCAUUAAAGGCGACAUUAUAAAGCCUAGGCCUCAUAUCCAAAGCAAAUAAAGUCUCAAUUUUUUAAUUAAAAGUAACAAAAGGAAACCUCACACUUCUGAACAACAAUGACAAGAAGGAAUGCCUAUAAUUGGUUUGGGUCACAAUGUACAUAUUGAAAUAAAAUUUUUAUUAAGUAUCAACUUCCAGGUACACAAUGAAGUUUUAAAUGUUUAUCUGUGACAUAUGAAGAACAAAGCAAUCUAAACUGAUGUAAGCAGGCUGUCAUAAGGUACAUGCUGAGGAAUUUAUUCAACAAAUUGAAUAAAUUUAUUCAAUAAAUAAAUAAUUAUUCAAUAAAUAAUAUAUUUAAUAAAUUUAAUAAAUAGAA
RNAcentral lists this long non-coding RNA (2048 nucleotides) under Homo sapiens (human). RNAcentral's name for it is "non-protein coding lnc-PCSK9-1:2". The record is from RNAcentral. Lineage: Eukaryota; Metazoa; Chordata; Mammalia; Primates; Hominidae.